Schistocerca cancellata (South American locust) is the source of this 711-nucleotide long non-coding RNA. RefSeq lists it as uncharacterized. The record is from RefSeq and is a predicted model, not a curated record. The transcript has 2 exons. NCBI's taxonomy places the organism in Eukaryota, Metazoa, Arthropoda, Insecta, Orthoptera, Acrididae.
CAUUACUUACACAUUGCAGUAUAUAUAGUAACACACUUUUAUGAUUACAGUGUGACUGCUGUAAGAUUUCAGAGCCAGGAACUAUUCUGCCAUCUAUGGUUGAUCUUUGCAUCGCAUUUAAGCUACACUUGGAAAGUGGGCGUUUCAUUUCACUUGCUGAUUGGCUUCAGGCUUUUGCAGCUGUAGCAAAUCCUGCAGAAGAUUGUGAUGAUGGUGAUGAAGACAGCCCCAACUCAAAUAUUGAUCCUCAUAUACAAGCCCGAUUUACUCAAGCUGUAAAUGAACUUCAGUUACUUGGAUUUAUACGAACCACCAAAAGGAAAAUGGACCAUGUUGCAAGACUGACGUGGGGUAGCUGCUAAGAGCUGUGCUCAGUAAUCAACAGUUGGCUUUCACUUUUUAUGAGAGCAUCUACACACACUGAGAGACAGGAUGAUGUUUGUUUUCUGUAAUAGUGAAAAUAGAGGUUAAUAGGGAUGCAGUAUGUGUAUUACAAGAUGUGUUUUGGAAGGAUAACUGUUGUAGAACCUCAUGGAGAGAAAAAAAAAUUGUUUUUAUUUGUCAAAAACAUUUCUACCUAAACCUUUCAACAAUGUAAAUGAACAGAAAUAGGAGAUGCACACUUCUGUAUGAUACUAAUGUUUCCCAUUGUUUUUGUUAUCACUUAACCAGAAAUAAUAAGAAUAAAAGUUGGGAGAUAACAAUUUGUAA